This 200-nucleotide ribosomal RNA is filed under the name uncultured bacterium. Its description in RNAcentral is "partial 16S ribosomal RNA". It matches the Rfam family "Bacterial small subunit ribosomal RNA", at positions 524 to 723 of the family's 1533-position model. The record is from RNAcentral.
UACAGAGGGGGCAAGCGUUGUUCGGAAUUACUGGGCGUAAAGGGCGCGUAGGCGGCCUUCUAAGUCGAACGUGAAAUCCCCGGGCUCAACCCGGGAACUGCGUCCGAUACUGGAAGGCUUGAAUCCGGGAGAGGGAUGCGGAAUUCCAGGUGUAGCGGUGAAAUGCGUAGAUAUCUGGAGGAACACCGGUGGCGAAGGCA